AAAACCUAAAACGACGAAAGCCCUUCCUCUCUUCCAUCCUUGCGGCUCCGAUGACCGCGCCAGUGUGAAUCGGGAUUUCAAAAACGUU
Molecule: non-coding RNA, 88 nt
Organism: Brevibacillus sp. CF112
Lineage: Bacteria; Bacillati; Bacillota; Bacilli; Caryophanales; Paenibacillaceae
Source: Rfam